GGAAACGCGCAUGUGCACGGCUUUCGCGCUCAAAUCCACUCAACCCCCUGUGCACCUUUAUCCUGUCGGAGCGGAGUAGCUUGAGACCUUAGUAGCCGGUAGUAGAAAGGAGGGUAACAACUCCAUUCGAAAGGCGAAAAGGCCCCUAAACCCAGCGAAAAGCUUUGGCUUGUAUUUUAUAAACCACAGUUGUUGUCCUGUGAAUGUAAUGCUCCUUGUGGGCGAAAAUAAAUACAACUUUCAACAACGGAUCUCUUGGCUCUCGCAUCGAUGAAGAACGCAGCGAAAUGCGAUAAGUAAUGUGAAUUGCAGAAUUCAGUGAAUCAUCGAAUCUUUGAACGCACCUUGCGCCCCUUGGUAUUCCGAGGGGCAUGCCUGUUUGAGUGUCAUGUUAAUCUCAAAUCACUUGUCUUUUGGGGCUUUGGGGGUUGGAACUGGAAGGUUCCGGUUGGCAAUGCCGUCCGGUCCCCUUAAAUGGAUUAACUGGGCUUCCGCUUCGGGUUUGUGGGUAAAAAUUUAUUUCUUCCCCCGAAGGGUUGGCCGGCCGGGCCGGUUCCUAUCCGCCUGUCCGGUAGAAAAGUCCGUUUGGCCUUCUUGACCUCCUUGGCCUCAAUCAGGGAGGAAUUCCCCGCUAAC
This 636-nucleotide ribosomal RNA is filed under the name Phellinus repandus. RNAcentral describes it as "eukaryotic LSU rRNA". The stretch from base 236 to 389 matches the Rfam family "5.8S ribosomal RNA". Lineage: Eukaryota; Fungi; Basidiomycota; Agaricomycetes; Hymenochaetales; Hymenochaetaceae. The record is from RNAcentral.